Molecule: long non-coding RNA, 760 nt
Filed under: Cyanistes caeruleus (blue tit)
Lineage: Eukaryota; Metazoa; Chordata; Aves; Passeriformes; Paridae
Description: lncRNA (ENSCCEG00000005761.1)
Source: RNAcentral
CUUGCCCUGUGGCCUGUGUUUUUUAUUACUAAAGCUAUUUUUGCUUUUUAGUAUCUGGAACCAUGGCUGGGAAGAUGAUAAAUACAUCUAGGGCAGGGGCUGCCCUUCUUCGUCCCUGCUGCUGUUCCAAAGGAGUGACAAAGGUGUCUCCUUGGAAGAUCCAACACUGUGGGAUCAGAAAUCUUUUCAAGGAAUUAAAAAGAUAAACAGGAGUGGAAAGAAUUUUAUCACUGGAAGGCUUCACUGGAGAUUCCUUGGCUUUCACAGAAUUCUGUGUGAGUGCUGCCAUCCUCCUGGGUAUGGAUCAGUGGGAAAGCAUCCACACCACUUCAGGUGGGAAAUUUCUGUCCCAGUGACGUAGAUCUGAGUCUCUUUGAGAUCAGGGUGUCACUAUAAUAGCUGUUAUGAGAUCUUUUAUAUGAUUUUUGUAUCUGUUUGGGUCCCUGUAGCUGUGAUCUGAUGGGAACGUGCUGGGGGCCUGUUCAGUGCUGGGUUUGCAGCAAUUCCUGCUGUACCUUUGAUUUGUCAGCAGGCAGCACUUUUAUGGCAGCUCUGUUGAAAUUCAGCUCGACCUAUUAGAAAUAAUAAUCGUGUUUAAGCCAGUACAGACAAAGCACUCCCGUGAAGUAGUAAGGUGUGACUGGAUUAAUUUGCUUGUGACUGGUUUAUUUGUGCAUCUUUUAUGAGGGUAAUUACAGCCUUCCACCUGAGUAAUGGGAAGCAAUUGUCUGUCCAGGCUGGAGGAGGGGAAGGAGGGGUU